AUCCAUACUUAUUGAUUAGUUGAUCUUCAUUUGACUACGAUAUUUACAUUUUUUGUAACAAGUCAUUUUCUACAUGUUCAAUACCAACGAAACACAAACUGAACUAUACAAAGAUAUUCUGAGCUAUACCCAGAGCGCAGAUUACCAAACCCGACGUAUUUCAGGAAAAUGAAACGAAAUUUAAGAUAAUUUGGUUCAUUUCAUAAACCGAGUAUACAGUCAACUCAUAUGACUUAUUGUAGAGAGUUGUCAACAUGGAGAAGUUUUAUGCGAGAAAUUGAAAAACAUUCAGUUCUUACGAAACAUACAAUUCUUAAAAAAUAAGUAUAUCAGUAUAAAAGUAUAUCAUCAAGACUUUUUGACUCUUUUUUUAAUGUCUUCCAUCGUUUUUCCGAAUACUGCAUUGUUCAUUAGCUUGAAGAAGUUUUUCUCACUACGUUUUAUACUUGAUAAAGAGUCAACAUUGAACUCCUCACGAAAUGAACUGGUCAUUACGGAGCCGAGGCUUAUAUUUCUAACCCAGAGUUCAAAAAUUGCAUGAUCUUCAACGAGAAUUUGGUGGCAGUCGAACUGAGGAAACUGCAAGUUUAUCUAAAUAAACCGAUACAAGUAGAACAGACUAUGUUAGACUUGGCAAAGACUACCAUAUACGAUGUUCAUCAAGAGUGCAUCAACUACAUUCCAUUACCCAAUACAAAAUUGCUCUUAGCCCUGAAGAUGAUAAACAUUAUAUAAAUCCAGAUCCACACGAUACGCUUCUUUGGGGCCACUAUUCUAUCCCUCAAACAUUAAAUGCUAUGGAUAUUGACCAUUAACCCCUUUUGAUGAUUAUUAGUAUAUAUGUAUUUACUGCAGUUCAGCUGAGAAAAGAUUUUCAUAUCAAUAAUGAAUGUUCAAGUAACUGAUUUAUAUUAUUAAUAGAUUUGAGGUAUGAAGAUAGCUUUGAUAGCUGUAAAAUGUCUCGAUACUUGAAAAAUGUAAUGGUGAACACAUUAAUGGAAUGAUUAGAUAUCAAUAAAUAUGUUUUUGUGAUUUUAA
Long non-coding RNA from Leptinotarsa decemlineata (Colorado potato beetle), 1038 nucleotides. Lineage: Eukaryota; Metazoa; Arthropoda; Insecta; Coleoptera; Chrysomelidae. The record is from RefSeq and is a predicted model, not a curated record.